Sarcophilus harrisii (Tasmanian devil) is the source of this 736-nucleotide long non-coding RNA. RefSeq lists it as uncharacterized. The record is from RefSeq and is a predicted model, not a curated record. NCBI's taxonomy places the organism in Eukaryota, Metazoa, Chordata, Mammalia, Dasyuromorphia, Dasyuridae. The transcript has 3 exons.
CCAGAGGUGGCGUUCCCCUUUAAAAGUCCCAGCACAUGCUAAGAUGCGGCGCUCCUGCAGGCUGGGCUGCGGCACUGGGGAACUCUGCUGAGCUGGGCAGUUCGCGCAGCCCGAGCUGCCCGAGCGUGUCAUUGUGUGCGGGCGGCGGGCGGCCACUGCACCAGCCGCUCAACUUUGCCGCUCGCCCCCUCCGCCUCCCGCCCGCGGCCGAGAGACCCCGGCCCCGGAGGAAGCUCCGCGCGCCCGCUCGGAUCUCCAGAGAGAACAUCGCCUUCCAGCCCCUGGCAAAGGAAAGGAGGAUGCCUUCCAGUUGGAGAGGAGAGAUGGGAAGGGACCCAAAUCUAACAGGCACCAGAGAGAAGAGGCUAGCUGCUGACCCAGAGGGGCUCGACUCGGUGUGGACAUUUGAAGGAAAGACAUCCGACUCUCAGUCUGACCGGCUACCCUUCAUGGACUCGGUUUCCUCCUUCUGCUAAUCGCUAGUCUCUUACAGAAGAUCCCAGAGCACAAGAAGGCGGCAUGGGGAGGCUGGCCGGCCAGCUGUGAGUGUUUCUUUGGCAGUGUCUUAGCUGGUUGUUGUGAGUAAUAGAUGAGGAAGCAAUCAGCAAGUAUACUGCCCUAGAAGUGCUACACGUUGUUAGGCCUGUGAGGAUGGACGAGGCCAGCCUGGGACCCCAUCGUCGGAGACCCGGACCCCGCAGCCUGAGCUCAAGAAGGAACCAUUCGGGUCCCUUAG